Apaloderma vittatum (bar-tailed trogon) is the source of this 59-nucleotide non-coding RNA. The record is from Rfam. Lineage: Eukaryota; Metazoa; Chordata; Aves; Trogoniformes; Trogonidae.
UAGCUCAGUCAGUUAGAGCGUGGUGCUGAUAAUACCAAGGUCGCAGGUUCGAUCCCCGU